CAGUCGCCGCGGUAAAACCAGCAGCCCAAGUGGUGGUCACGAUUAUUGGGCCUAAAGCGCUCGUAGCCGGGCCGGUAAGUCCCUUGUGAAAUCGGACGGCCUAACCGUUCGGCGUGCAAGGGAUACUGUCGGUCUUGAGGCCGGGAGACGUCCGAGGUACUCCGGGGGUAGCGGUGAAAUGUUCUGAUCCUCGGGGGACCACCGGUGGCGAAGGCGUUCGACGAGAACGGGCCUGACGGUGAGGGGCGAAGGCUAGGGGAGCAAAAGGGAUUAGAUACCCCCGUAGUCCCUGUCUCUUAUU
Molecule: ribosomal RNA, 301 nt
Filed under: uncultured bacterium
Lineage: Bacteria
Description: partial 16S ribosomal RNA
Rfam family: Archaeal small subunit ribosomal RNA
Source: RNAcentral